UGCUACAGAUGACGACCGGCGCACGGGUGAGUAACGCGUAUGCAACCUGCCUUUGACAGGGGGAUAGCCCGGAGAAAUCCGGAUUAAUAUCCCAUGGUAUUUACGAAUCGCAUGGUUUGUAAAUUAAAGAUUUUAUCGGUCAAAGAUGGGCAUGCGUGACAUUAGCUAGUUGGUAAGGUAACGGCUUACCAAGGCUGCGAUGUCUAGGGGUUCUGAGAGGAUGAUCCCCCACACUGGUACUGAGACACGGACCAGACUCCUACGGGAGGCAGCAGUGAGGAAUAUUGGUCAAUGGGCGCAAGCCUGAACCAGCCAUCCCGCGUGAAGGAAGACUGCCCUAUGGGUUGUAAACUUCUUUUCUGCACCAAGAAUGGUUACUACGUGUAGUGAUUUGACGGUAGUGCAGGAAUAAGCAUCGGCUAACUCCGUGCCAGCAGCCGCGGUAAUACGGAGGAUGCAAGCGUUAUCCGGAUUCAUUGGGUUUAAAGGGUACGUAGGUGGCCAAUUAAGUCAGUGGUGAAAUCCUGCCGCUUAACGGUAGAACUGCCAUUGAAACUGGUUGGCUUGAGUACAGUUGAGGUAGGCGGAAUGUGUAGUGUAGCGGUGAAAUGCUUAGAUAUUACACAGAACCCCGAUUGCGAAGGCAGCUUACUAAACUGUAACUGACACUGAGGUACGAAAGCGUGGGGAGCGAACAGGAUUAGAUACCCUGGUAGUCCACGCUGUAAACGAUGCUCACUCGCUGUAUGCGAUACAUUG
This 759-nucleotide ribosomal RNA is filed under the name Sunxiuqinia elliptica. RNAcentral describes it as "bacterial SSU rRNA". It matches the Rfam family "Bacterial small subunit ribosomal RNA", at positions 80 to 836 of the family's 1533-position model. The record is from RNAcentral. Lineage: Bacteria; Pseudomonadati; Bacteroidota; Bacteroidia; Marinilabiliales; Prolixibacteraceae.